RNAcentral lists this non-coding RNA (154 nucleotides) under Calypte anna (Anna's hummingbird). Its description in RNAcentral is "Eukaryotic large subunit ribosomal RNA". It matches the Rfam family "Eukaryotic large subunit ribosomal RNA", at positions 2830 to 2984 of the family's 3401-position model. The record is from Rfam by way of RNAcentral. Lineage: Eukaryota; Metazoa; Chordata; Aves; Apodiformes; Trochilidae.
CUGGUUUGUGGUACCCAAGCAUUGAUAGUAAAGUCACUUUUUGAUUCUUCAGUGUUGGUUCUUUCUGUUAUUGUGAAGCAGAAUUCACCAAGUGUUGGGCUGUUCACCCAAUAAUAAAGAACAUGAGCUGGGCUUAGACUGCCGUGGACAAGUC